Molecule: transfer RNA, 62 nt
Filed under: Plakobranchus ocellatus
Lineage: Eukaryota; Metazoa; Mollusca; Gastropoda; Plakobranchidae
Description: tRNA-Tyr
Source: RNAcentral
UUUUGGUGGCUGAAUUAAUAGGCGAUAGAUUGUAAAUCUUUUUAUGACUUUUGUCCCAGAGC